This 71-nucleotide transfer RNA is filed under the name Camelus bactrianus (Bactrian camel). It matches the Rfam family "tRNA". From Rfam's summary of the family: Transfer RNA (tRNA) molecules are approximately 80 nucleotides in length. Lineage: Eukaryota; Metazoa; Chordata; Mammalia; Artiodactyla; Camelidae. The record is from Rfam by way of RNAcentral. RNAcentral also lists the same sequence under 2 other names.
GAGCGUAUAACUCAGUGGUAGAGUACAUGCUUAGCAUGCAUGAGGUCCUGAGUUCAAUCACCAGUACCUCU